GGGAGGGUAGAAGGAGGGAGGGAGAGGGGAUUCUUCUGACAAGCACAAUUUACAUUGAGAUCGCCCUGCGCUGCUAUUUACUUUGAGACCUGAUUAGUAUGGGUCGUCUACGGUCUCUCUCUCUCCCCCUCUCUCACACACCCCAGCACACACAUCGACAGAGGAGGAUGCAUUGCGAUAGGCGGAAAGGGGGAAUUAAAAGGGAACGAUGUGGGCUCCCCGUGAAAAGUUGGUGGGUUUUUUUUUCUCUUUAUUUCCACCCCCCCCUCUACGUCUGAAAUCAGGAUUUCUCUCUCCUUUCCCAAUUGCAAAAGCCACGCCAGGGGUUUUAAUGAUGGAGAAGAAAACGCGCUCGGUACUCGGACUCUUGCACACGCACACACGUCCGCGCACACACCGACAUCCCCACACAUUCCCAUUCCACUUUGGGCCAUUUUUUGUCGCCCACCCCUCACCUAGUAUGCCACCCCCCACCUCUUCCCACCGCCCCGCUGGACUCAGCGCUUCCCGCGUGGGAAAUCACCACCCCCCCUCCCCUUUAAUUCUUUUUUUUGGGGGGCUGGGGGGUGUGGGAACGUCCAGAACAGCCCCAACCGUCCUGCGCGCAAUGCCGCACCCCACCCCGUCCCCCCCCAUCACCCGCAGAUCCCCUUUCCAAAAGUGAGUUGAUCAGCGCGGGAGGUGGGAAGGGAGGGAUGCGCAGGGGGGGCGGUCACCUCGUUCCGCUCCUCUCCUCUCCGCCCCGCUCCGCCCCGCUCCGCUCCACUCCGCGGCCCCGGCGGCGCGGAGCGGGAAUCGCUGGCGCCGGCUGCCAUCUAGUGGCACCUAUCGGCCGGCCCCGGGGAGCCCGGGGGGGGCCACCAGGCCUGUCUGCGGCCUUGCACACCCCCUUCUCUGUUUUGUUUUGUUUUGUUUUUUCCUUUCUUUAUUUUUAGUAGAAAACUGCACUAGAGAGAAGAAUCCCCUUUUAAUUUGUGUCUCUUCUUUCUCACAAGCCUGCAUUCCCACAGACUUCCCUCUUCUGCCCAGAGGUCUGAAAUUUGCUUUGGGUCGAAAGACUGUGUGUGACAAAGAAGAAACAAACUUAGGAAAAAAAAACAAAAAACCAACAAAACCAAACAACCCAAAUUCCCCAAACCAAACCCUACUCUCCUCUUAUCUCCCACAAAAGUUUAUAAUCAGAUUGGAAGUCGGGGAAAAAUCCUGCAGGGGGAAAGGGGAUGAAAUGUAUGUCAGAAUGUUUUUUGUAAAGGGAGGUUGCUUUCACUUAAAGAAAGAAAGAAAGAAAGAGGAAAAAAAGGCCUCAACUUUGAUGUAUCGUGAUCACUUUUUUCCCUUUUUUCUUUUUUUUUUUUUUUUUUUUCCUUCUUCCCCCCCCCCCAACUCCCUUUCUCUGUCAGCUCUGAAAUCUGAGGCUGGGAGCCGGCUGGAGAGGAGAAUCCUUCAUCAUUUCUGAGAUUAGAAUAAACGCUUGAUUUUGUCUCGAAAUAAUGAAGAGAUUUUCAAUGAGUCCCUUGGCCAAGCCGUCUCUAUUGUAUAUUGCAUUGAUAAAAAGGAUGUUAUUGACUAUGCAACAGUAGGCUCCUUUCCUCUCUCCCCUCUUUCCAAAUAAACUCUCGGUCCUGUCUCUUGGUCAGUGAAAAGGUGAAACGAAUAAGAUUAAACCGGACAAAAAAAGCAAGCUCGGUAUGUAUAUCAUCUAGAUUUUACUCCCCAGACUGUGAAGAGACAGGGAGUAAAAGAGGCAGAGCAAGGCACGGAGAGAGAGGGGGAGAGAGAGAGAGAGAGACAGAGACACAGACACAGACAGAGGCAGAAAAGCCUGAGAGAAGGUGGACGGACCCAGCAGCCCGCAGCUCCUCCUGGCCCCGGCUCCCGGACACCCCGGGACACCCCAGAGCAACAGAGAGCAUGAGUCACAGAUUUUUACGCAGAUCCCAAAACCAACAUGUGUUAGGGCUGACAAAGAGGAGCAGUCUGCAACCUCCAUCGUUGUCCACCACCAGCCUGCAGAAUCAGUGACAGGCACAAAGCUGAACCUUCUCCCCACGUGUCAUAGCCCACGUCCUCCAACUAAACAUCCAACCAUGUUUUGGUAUUGGUCUCCCCAGCCAGGUCUUCCACCUGGCUCAGGGAUGUGCUCCAGACAUUGUCCCGGAAGGAGAAAGAUGCUUGCUGAACCAAAAAUUUCUCUCUUUCCCUCAAAACAUGAGCAUCAGAACAUUUAUCGUAGGACACCGCAUCCACAUGGAGAACUUCUUGCAGCAGAACAAGAGGGUAAGGAAAGACCUACAGAUUUCCAGGUGAUUGUCUCCUGAAAGUGGAAACACUGCUGGUGCUGUGACUUGUGGUCUACAAGUGGAAGCUUCUUCCCCUUAAGAAUUGAUGUUGUAUCAUUUCUUAGUCUGUGUUAGCGACAAAUAGCCUUGCUUAGUUUAAAGAACCACUGUCAGGAGCUGAAGAGCCAUUGGUUUUGAUGAGCACCAAACAGGCUAAGACUGGUCUGUUUUUUUUUUUCCAGAAACAUUUGAAAAACAACUACUGCCAUGGUCACAAGGGAACAGUGAUCCCUCUCCAUAAAUUCAAUUUGUUCAUAACCUUUUGACACAGACCAUAAAUAACCUUCGUAUAUUUCACACACACGGACACAUGAAUUAAAUUACAUGAGCAACGUAUAUAAAUAUUUACUUUACAGAAAUACAACCCAAAUAUAAAGUGCCACAUGAACAACCCAUCUAUUAGCAAAUGGUUAAUUCCCUGUGUCAAUAGAUAACCGGAUUACAUGCCUACCUGCUCCUUUUGCUGUGCCAGUCUGCUCAUUGCAGGCACAAAAUGGUAGCAAAGAAAAUAUUAAUCAAUUGAUAGUGGGGCUGUUUCAGCAAAGGUUACAUCAGAGACAAAGGAAAGGGAAGGCUGAGUUCUGGCUCCAGAAAAGGCUUGUUAUAAUUUUCUGGAGUAGGCUAUGAUAUCUAGAAAAGGUGAGAAAAAAGAAAUAAUGAAAAAGAAGUUGGUUUUAUUUCUGAAAAUUGUUCUCAGUGGGUUUAUUUGAUAAGUUUUAUUUGCGCACAUGACUAGUGUGAUAAUAAUAGCAAAAAACCUAAAAGAAUGUGCCAGAAUUCCAAGAUGCUAAAUCAGAAGAUAUUUAUGGGAGAGAAUAGUAGCUAUUCCUUUAGCUUUGUACCUAAAAAUGAGGUAUCCCACAGGAAUUAAAAACAUUGAUUUUCUGAUUUUUUUUCCAAAUUCCUCUUUGUGUUUUAAAACCUGCAAAAGAUAUCCUGUCUGGAGCACUAGAUGCUCUAUGUUUUAAAACACAAAAUAAAAAACACUGAUAAUACUUAGGGUAGAAAAAUAACUGGAUGUAUAUGUAUGGAAGUAUUGAAAUUUGGUGCGUGCUUCAAUGUUAGUAUAAUUUCUUGCCGAAGAUUCAGGGAAAAAGAUUAAAUUAAUAAAUGAUUUAAUAUUUUUUUAAAAAAUAAGUUAUUAAAUGUGUACCUGUCGAAUAUAAUGAUGGUGAUUUGCAUUUUUGAAGGAAAAAAGGGAGAUUGUUAAGCAGUGGAAAGCAGAGAACAAUUCCCACUGCUGGAAAUCUCUAUGGUACCUUUUUUUCAACUUUGUUGACAGUGCAUCCUCUUCCAUGAGAGACUGCUGGUGUGUCCUGUUACCAUGAGGUAACACAGGGCUGGACAACAGCUAGAUUGAACACAUACAUAUAUAUAUAUAUGUAUGAGGAAUACAGAAACUCUCUACUUCUUGUAUAACUUUAGGUGACUAGGAUUGCAACUCUAGAAAGUUCAAGAACAAAAUGGGCAGAGAGCAGGCAACCUCCUCCUUCCCAGGCAUGAGAUAAGGAAACCUUAUGGAGAUAAAGAAACCUUAUGGAGAUAAAAGGAUGUUGCAAACUCAAAUACAUCCUUCUGAAGCAAUGAGCAAACCCAUCCAUCCAUUUUAAUGAAAAGAGAUCAAAUUUCCUUGUGACACACGUAACAGCUAUACAGACACUGCUGCAGGUUUGGUGUCACCCACAAUUAACCAGUUGCCACCCCUGGGCUGUGGAAACCUGAGGAGGGAUCUCACUGCAAGGGAUGUCCUGGGUUGCUGUGGACCAGCUGAAAUUGGUCUAUUUUAUGACUGUGAAUCAAAAGGGUUACCUUUUGAUAAUGCCUAUUUAAUUCAAAAGCAAGUAAUUUGGUAGUCAUUAAACCUCUUGCAGCAUCGAGUAGUUAACUUUAUGUUGUGACAAGUAGAGGAAAUUGUGGUAGCACAAGGUAUUCUCUUAAUUAAAUACUAAAAUAUGGAGUAAUAGAAUCAUAGAAUCACAGAAUGUUUUGUGUUAGAAGGACCCAGCCAUGAGCAGGGACAUCUUCACCAGCUCAGGUUGCUCAGAGCCCCGUCCAGCCUGGCCUGGGAUGUCUCCAGGGAUGGUUCAUCCACCACCUCUCUGGCCAAACUGGGACAGGUUCUCACCACCCUCAGGGACACCAAUUUCUUCCUCAUGUCCAGCCUGAAUCUUCCUCCUUUAGUUUAAAACCAUCACCCCUUGUCCUGUCAUGACAGGCCCUGCUCUAGUCUGUUCCCAUCUUUCUCAUGGGCCCCUUUUAAGUCUAGAAAGGCCACAAUAAGGUGUCCCUGGAGCUUCUCUUCUCCAGCUGAACACCCCAACUCUCUCACCUGUCCCCCAGCAGAGCUGUUCCAGCCUCGGGUCAUUCCUGUGGCUCCUCUGGCCCCUCUCCAGCAGCUCCAUGUGUGUCCUGUGCCCAAGUCCUUCUCCUGGGAGCUGCUCUCCACCCCUGCAUCCCAGCCUGGACUGAUAGUGGGGGUUACCCUGAUCCAGAUACAGGACAUUGCACUUGGCCUUGUUAAACCACAUGAGGUUCACAUGGGCCGACUUCUCCAGCCUGUCCAGGUCCCUCUUGAUGACAUCCUGUCCCACAGAUGUGUCAACUGGAUCAGUCAACUUGGUGUCAUCAAAAUGUAAGGUAUAUGGGUGCAAAUAAUGAAAUAAUAAAUAAAUCUGUGGUCAAAACACUUGAAAUGAUUGCAUGGCUCUACCACAGUUUUAAUUGUGAUUAUCUCACCUCAUUUGGGUCCACCUUUCCCCAGAACUUUCAGUUUUUAAAUCAAAUGAGGGGCAAAACUCCUAUGCCUUCAUGUUUUCCCCCAAAGCAGUUGGAAACAAUCUGGCUUCAGCUUUAUUUGUUUUAAUUGGAUUUUAGUAAAGUAGAAAGUUAAAGCAGGACCUCAAGAACUCAAAGAAAUUUCAGAGUUGAAACUCUGCCAGGUUAACAUAAAUAGAUUAGCGCAUACACUGACAGGCCAGGAGCAGUUAAGAAUAAAAGAUCAAAGAAGCUAUGAAAAAUAAAAAUAACCGGAGAUCUCUAGAACAGAUAAAAUAUUAUUAAAUUAAUUACCAGUGCAAGUGGUACAUGUGUAGACAGUACCACGUGCUGAAGCAAGGGGACAGCCAGUUCAGAUGUUGGAUUUCUCUGUUCCUUCAUUUCUUCCUUUCUCCCCUUCAUUAAUGAUAUAGGAGGGCUGUUUCUGACCAUGCAUUUCACUAGAGUUUUAUCUGUUUAAGGAUGAUUCUGCAAAUUAAUUUGGGAUGCUACAGCAUAAACCAGUGGAUUAUGCUUUCAAAUAAAGUCUACAGACAUUACCUUCUAUUUUAUUUUUCCUGUUUUCACCACAUUAUCUCAGUUGACUAUCUUACAGUGGUUGUGAUUAAACAUUUAAAGUAACACCAGUUACUAUACCACAGUGUCUGAAAUACUGAGCCCAUUUGCUCCAAUAAGAUAGAUACAUCAGGAUAAAUAUUUUAAUGACAGUCAGUCAUUUAUUUUUCUCCAUGAUUAUUGUUAAAAGCACUCAAGUAUUAAUAGAUUUUUGUUACACAUCCUCAUUGUCAACACUUACCAAUACUCAGAACUUAACCUUUUUCUAGUGAAUCAGUUCCCCCCCCACUUUUAAUGCAUUUUUGUUUCUAAACUCUAUUCCAAGGUCACUUUUAACAGAAAAUAAAAAUGUGGCCUUAACAGGCUGAUGUAUGGCUUGAAAACGAUGGAGCAAUUUGAAGCAUUCAGUAAUAGCAAAUUACCAGGACUGAAUGACCUCCCUCCAGAAUUCUGAAGUGAGGAAAUUAUUAAGUACAGUGUGUAUAGAUGAGAAUAUAUAUUGUCUUUUUAAGAUAGUAAUAAUAAUAUAUAGCACCCCCAUUCUCCUUCUUAGUGCUUGAAAGGCACUAAUACUGUUAAUUUCAGGGUUUUGAGUAUUUUUGUAAAAAAUGGUGCAGGAUUUGAGACUUGUUUCAGUGCUGGGAAAACUUUUGAGUUCUUCUGAAGAAGACGAUAAUGCAGGACUUGGCAGGAGAAUAACCUGAAAGGUCCAAAACAAUAAUGCUUCUGCAAACAGGUCCUGAACUAGGGCAAAACAGGUAGAAGUGAGCAAGGAGUAAAAAAUCCCUGGACUUUCAAAAAUCUUACAAUAAGGGUAAUCUAAAUAGAGUGUUGAAGGAAAUAAAUUGCAGUGUAGGGAGGAAUGGAUUCCUACCUUGGAUUAAACUGGGCCAUAUUUAUUACUUGUAGUUCAUUGGUCCUCUCCCCACAGCAUGAAUAUGAAUUAAAAUUGUGUUGCUGUGUUAUUCUGUAUGUGUCUAUACAGCUGGCUGGGAAGGAGAAGGCUUACCGUCAACACGUUGCUCUGGGGGAUCUGUAAAACUAAUUUGGCCAGUGAAAGGCUGUUGGGGCAACCAAGAUGGCUGUUGACUUAUGACUGUCUCUGCCAUAUUUAAAAUAAUAGUAAUACCUCAACCAGCAAUUAAAGAAAGUGGUGUUGUUUUUUGUGCUCUAAACCUGUAAAAAAAUAUAGGCAUCAGUGUUAUAUUGUCAUACUAUCUACAUGGUUGGGUGAAGGAGCACAUCCAGGUUUGUUCAGCUCACUUUGGAAAGGACACCCUUGUCACUCAUUGACACACCUUGGAUACAGGUUUUAUUCAGCGAGUUGGAUUUCAAAGCAAGUGGUUAGACCUCAGUCUGGGACUACCUCACCUUGAAUUCACCCAAAGACUGUAAAAGAGAAGACUAGUUGCAUGGAAAAAAGUGAACAACAAAGAACAUCUCCUCUGUUCUAUGCAGACCCACAGAUCAAAAAUAGAAGGGCACAAAGAUGGAGAGAAAUAAAGAUUAAUUCCUUUAUCUGGCUUGAAAUAAAACUGGAAUCCAGUACCAUUCAGUCAAAUAUUUUGACUGGAUUUUUUAAAAGGAUUGGAUUAGUCCUUUCGCAGAGUCAUGGAGUCAGGGAAUAGUUGGGGUUGAAGGGACCUCUGGAGAUCACCCUGUCCAACCCUACUGCUAAAGCAGGUUCACCAGAACAGAUCACUCAGGUGGGUCCAGGCAGGUUUGAAUGUCUCCAGAGAAGGAGACUCCACAUCCGCUCUGGGCAGCCUGGGCCAGGCUCUGGCAAAGAAGUUUCUGCUCACGUUCAGAUGGAACCUCUUGUGUUUCGGUCUGUACCCAUUGCCCCUCACUCUGUCGUUGGGCACCACUGAACAGAGUCUGGUCCAUCCUCUUGACGCCCACCCAGAAAAGAUGCUCCAGAUUCCUCAUCAUCGUUGUGGCCCACUGCUGGACUCUCCAGUAAUUCCUUGUCCUUCUUGAACUGGAGAGCCCAGAACUGGACACAGUAGUCUAGAUGCAGCCCCAUUGUUAUUAUUCACUGUAGUUACUCAUAUAAACAGAUAACUAUGUGACUAUUGAAGCUGAAUGCUUUUUUCCAGCUUCAAAAUUAUACAACUGAGAGCGAAGUUUGGCUAUCUAAAAGCAAUCAAACCCAAUACUUCAUGCUGUACAGUAACCUUUUUGCCUGAAGAGGUCAGGAAGGAAAUAUUUUCCCAUGCUAAUGGGUAAUCUCAGUUUUAUUUCUCAGCAGUUGACAUGUUCCUGAGAUUUUUGCUUGUUAAUGCUGGAGACACAACAUGCCACUGCUCAAUUCUUUGUGGCAGGGUUGUUACUACUCCAGUUAGGAGGAAACAUUUAACACAGCAGAAAACAGGGAAUAGUUGCUCCUUUUGCUUCUCAAACUAUGGCUCAAUCACUCCUCUAUGGUCCUCCAACUUUCUGUCUACUUCCUUACACUUUCAGUCAAUAAAAUGUAAAUUUGAAGGUACCCUGUAAUUCUCUGUGCCCUAUUAAACCACAAGCAAACACAUAAGUGAUGCAGAGCAUGGGAUAACGGCGGCUUUCCUGAGCACAUGGGUACAAAACUUGUCGAGUACACCUCUGCCUAAUGAGAAAGCACAAGUGUUCUGACAAGCAAGAACAACAAAUAAUAAUAAUAAUAAAAAUCGCUAUCCUGUCAAAUACUGUGUGCAUAUCAAGGAUCCGGAAUACAAAGCAGACUUAACAGCAAUCACAUUUUGAGUAGAAUUCGCUUGAAUGUAACACCUUCUCCCUCUAAGGUUUUGAGUGUGGUAUCUUAAAGAAGAUCACACAAAUUACUCAUUGUGGGAACAAAGGCUCUUUUUUGAAAGUUGUCAGCUUGCUGACAGUUAUGAUGAGCAUUUACUUCAGGCUUGUAAAACAUAUUAAUCAAACUUGUUCCUAUAGCUUCAGUCCAAGGAGGGUUACUGUUUCUUUUAGAGCAAUGUUUUACAUAAGUAAAGAGCUCUGAAUACGUGUACACCUUGAAUGCAAACCACCGUCUCUGCCAUUCAUUUGUUCGUGAUGAAUAAAUACUAGUCUACACCACGCAUAAGGAAGAUUGAAGUAGUGUAUGGAAAUCUGUUUAUUACAAAACUAUUUGCCAAAGACCUAUGCACCAUUCGUUGAACCUUGAGAAACAUUUGAAAAUAUGGGUUGCAUUUGCAAACUUCAAUGUAUGACAUGGAGAGCUGGCAAGCUGCCUGGUUUCUACUUAAAGGAUUGUCAUUCUGGGAAAAAUAAAUUUCUCUAACUAGACAAAAGUCAAUGUUUUCAUGUUUUACUGCAAUCAAACUGAUAUGGCUGACAAUUUAAUGUCUCAACACUUAAAAUAUCUGUGGAUAAUCAGUUACCUCAAUCAAUCACAACUACAAGAUUUCUCUAUUUUCAGAGUCUGUAUACAUAUGACUGAGAUAUUAAAGUUUAGAGAAAACUCCCUAUCCUUAAUCCUUUAUGAUUUCUCUUGAGUUGUGCAGUUCUUUUAUCUUUAUUUUUUUCCCCCCAAAUGCACGAUUUUAUAAUUAUAGGAAAAAAAUAAUCCAACCCUACACUGUAAUCAGAUUUUGAAACCUUUUGUGUUAAUGUCCUGUUUUAUUUAAUUUUAUGUAUAUUUUAUAGUCUGCUUGGCUGUCAAAAAGAUGUGGAAAUGUGCUGGCAUUCCAGCUGAAGACAUCAUUAUGAGUGAGAAAAUGCUCAAGGCUUUUUCAAAGUGGGUGCUGAAACAUACGUUUCUCUUCUUUGACUCCAGGGGAUGCUAACAGCUGCCCCAGCAGACAGGUAUUGCAGGGUCAAAGGCUAGCAGAGCUGUGCACCUCCAGGAUUUGACUGCCAGCAAAGUAGAUGGGUAGUUGCUCAAAACUAAUAAUAAAAAUAGCAACAAUGAUGAGAAGAAGAAGGAGCUGACAACAAAAAUGAAAAGGAACCCGCAAGAAGUGAAUUCUGGGUAGCACAACACUUGGCAGAGCUGAUUUUAAUAUCUGACAGGUUGAGUUCACUAAUCUUUGCUAUUCAUACUGACGUGAAACUUCAUACAGUUUUAGAGAUUUGUAUCUAUUAAGACAUGCAGCAGUGUUCCUACAACAUGGGAACAAGUUUGCUGGCGCCUGCCAUUCUUCUUCCUCCGUGAUAAAAAUUGGUAUGAACUGUUUUAAACGCCUAACAGAUAAUUACUCUCAACACUCAAUAAGGAGAACUACAUCUUUAGAGCCUCCUUUAUCUUUAAAAAACAAUAAAAAAAAUGCCAAAAAACAAGCCCCCAAACACACCAACAAGACAAAACAACCUUCUUCCCCCCUCUUCCCCCCUCUCUUUUGUUUCUUUGAUUACUUGGAGCCCUGUAAUCAAACUAAGCUUAGUUUUGGGACCCUUGGGGCAGUAUCUCUUAGUUCCCUGUCAGGCUGCAUUGCAAAACAAUCAAUCUUGCUCUUGCACUGGCUUGGUGGAAGUGCCACGACACGAGGACUGCAAUGCUUUGCUCUCGCUGUGUGAAGCUUCGAUGACAAAAGUUUUUAUCAGAAGCUGACUGUAUUUAGGGUUAUGAAUAUGCAAUGACUCUCAUUAGUAUUGAAGCACAGGAGCACGGGCUGACAUCCCCCGCCACUUUUAGCUGCUGCAGAGUCGUCUAAUGAAUUGUCUUGCUCUUUCACUUGCGCAGCCUUUGCUGCUACGGCUCCCCGUUCCGAGGGGAGUUGCCCAGUUUGAGAACGCUAUUGACGGCAGAAAUUAAUUGCCACGAACUGCUCUUGAUUUUGUGCAACAGGGUUGAGACUGUGUUUAAAUUGUCAAAACAGAAAACCAUUAGCCUCUCCAGGAGACAGGAUCAUCGCGAGUGAGAGGACCCGCGUGUCCAUACGUGUGGCCGUGCACGAGCUCCCAGGUGUGGCACAGGUGUGUGUGUAUGGUCUUGUAACCACACCUGUGUGUACAAACACUUGUGUGCGUAUUGGUGACGGGCCUCAGAAACCCGGCACCCUACUGAUUUAUGUGUUAUUUUUCCAAUCAGAACAAACGAGGAUAAUGGAAAGCUCUCCAAAUGAGCAGGACUCUAACACAUUGCUAUUUGAUCAACCCUUUAAUACUCUUCCUUUCCCCUUUGGGACCCUGCCAAACAUUUUUCAGCUCACACAUCUGCAAUCUUUAUGAAUAAGUUACUGAUAAGGAUGUUUCCAACAAAUGAUUAAGAUAUCUGGCUUGAUUUGUCAUAUUUGAGGAGAUGUGUAAGCUUUCAGAAACAAGUAGAAAUGACCUUUUUUUUCCCAAUUGGUUAAAUUAAGUAUUUUUUUUCCCUAUUCAUCUGAAAUUUCUUCUGACAUAAAAGGAGCUUUUGUGGCUCUCUGCAGAUUGUGAAGGAUAGAGUGAAUUGAAACAGAUAAUAUAUUCCAAGAAGUGUAAGUGGCAUUCUGAAAGGUGUGCGUGUACUACAAAUAAUAAAGUAUAUGAGGUUCUCCCAAGAAGAUAACAGCCCUGUGCAGCUUUUUAUCCAUUUAAUCAGUAAUGGAAAUGGUCCCAGUGCAAGGAAGGAGGAUCUGUUUAAUUUUUACUGCGAUUUUUGGCACCAUUGCUCUAACGUAAGCUUGGCUUACCUCUUGACCCAGCCCCAGGAGUGCCUGUUCUCAUCAGCUGGAGAAAAAAUAAACAUAAAGAACAUCUACAUGUUGGGAGUAUCAAAUACAAGAGCAGUUUAAAAUAAAUGCAGUUCUGACAAAAGUGGCUCAAGUAUCAUACAUCAAACACUUGUUACCUCUCUUGGCCUUAGUGAUUGCACGUGACUAAGAAAGAGUGAGUGAUAAAAUCUGAAGAAAGAUGAAACCAAUCUGGGCCUUUUUAAAGAUCAUCAAUCAUUCUGCGCAGCCAUGAUAUUAUUAGUUCCAGUAAGCCUUGUUCUCCCAUUUUAUGGACAUCAUAAACCCUCCACCCCUAGACCAAUGCUACCAUGGGAAAUCAUUUUUAUGGGCAGCAUCUUAGUGUGGGCCAAUCAGAUCUAAUCACAUAACAAGCUACUGAAUUAUUCAACGUUCUCCCUAAUUUUGCAUUCUUCCUGCACUUUGCUGUCACUGCAGGGUUUUAAAAGUAUGUGUUUUUACAAUAUUUAUUAAGAAGAUAACCAUACGCAGGAAUUUUGCUUUCUCUAUGUCUUUCAAUAAUUGUUUGUUCCCUUAGAUUGUUGCAGUAUAUACAUUACUAUAUUGAGUAUAUUUUUUCUAAAAGGAAUAGCAGUCCACAAUGUGGCACUAGGCUUUAAAGUCUUUCAGCUUUUAAAAUACCGAAUGUAAGGACUACAAUAGUGAAACAAUUGUGUUCAAACAUAAAAUAUUCAGAUUUACUGAGCAAACUGUAACCAGCAUGUCUCUUAGCUGUUGCUAUGAAUACAGGGCUCACAUUGUAUAUGAAAAUAUUUCAGUUUUAAUUGCAAAUCUGUGCAGAGAUGAUUUGGGGUCUGUAAUUAGCACAUAAAUUCCAGACUUUGUGACUGCUGUGAAAACACACAUUAUUUAUGGAACGAUUAUCUAAAUAUAAUUCAGUGUUUUUCGCUUUCAACAACUACUGUAAAAGUCUGAUUUAAUAAAAUGUGAAAAAUU
Molecule: long non-coding RNA, 12268 nt
Organism: Columba livia (rock pigeon)
Lineage: Eukaryota; Metazoa; Chordata; Aves; Columbiformes; Columbidae
Exons: 3
Source: RefSeq, a predicted model, not a curated record